RNAcentral lists this ribosomal RNA (460 nucleotides) under uncultured bacterium. RNAcentral's name for it is "partial 16S ribosomal RNA". It matches the Rfam family "Bacterial small subunit ribosomal RNA", at positions 338 to 795 of the family's 1533-position model. The record is from RNAcentral.
CCUACGGGAGACAGCAGUGAGGAAUAUUGGUCAAUGGACGAGAGUCUGAACCAGCCAAGUAGCGUGAAGGAUGACUGCCCUAUGGGUUGUAAACUUCUUUUAUAAAGGAAUAAAACGCGGCACGUGUGCCUUUUUGCAUGUACUUUAUGAAUAAGGAUCGGCUAACUCCGUGCCAGCAGCCGCGGUAAUCCGGAGGAUCCGAGCGUUAUCCGGAUUUAUUGGGUUUAAAGGGAGCGUAGAUGGGUUGUUAAGUCCGUUGUGAAAGUUUGCGGCUCAACCGUAAAAUUGCAAUUGAUACUGGCAGGCUGGAGUACAGUUGAGGUAGGCGGAAUUCGUGGUGUAGCGGUGAAAUGCUUAGAUAUCACGAAGAACCCCGAUUGCGAAGGCAGCUUACUAAACUGUGACUGACAUUGAUGCUCGAAAGUGUGGGUAUCAAACAGGAUUAGAUACCCCAGUAGUC